GGGUCGCUAACUCAAUGGUUAGAGUAGCCGCCUUUUAAGCGGAAGGUUCAGAGUUCAAGUCUCUGGCGACCCACUA
Molecule: transfer RNA, 76 nt
Filed under: Hydrocoleum sp. CS-953
Lineage: Bacteria; Bacillati; Cyanobacteriota; Cyanophyceae; Oscillatoriales; Microcoleaceae
Description: tRNA-Lys
Rfam family: tRNA
About the family: Transfer RNA (tRNA) molecules are approximately 80 nucleotides in length. Their secondary structure includes four short double-helical elements and three loops (D, anti-codon, and T loops). Further hydrogen bonds mediate the characteristic L-shaped molecular structure. tRNAs have two regions of fundamental functional importance: the anti-codon, which is responsible for specific mRNA codon recognition, and the 3' end, to which the tRNAs corresponding amino acid is attached (by aminoacyl-tRNA synthetases). tRNAs cope with the degeneracy of the genetic code in two manners: having more than one tRNA (with a specific anti-codon) for a particular amino acid; and 'wobble' base-pairing, i.e. permitting non-standard base-pairing at the 3rd anti-codon position.
Source: RNAcentral